Molecule: ribosomal RNA, 580 nt
Filed under: uncultured Alphaproteobacteria bacterium
Lineage: Bacteria; Pseudomonadati; Pseudomonadota; Alphaproteobacteria
Description: bacterial SSU rRNA
Rfam family: Bacterial small subunit ribosomal RNA
Source: RNAcentral
CGCGUUGGGAGCUCUCCCAUAUGGUCGACCUGCAGGCGGCCGCGAAUUCACUAGUGAUUAGAGUUUGAUCAUGGCUCAGAACGAACGCUGGCGGCAUGCCUAACACAUGCAAGUCGAACGAAGGCUUCGGCCUUAGUGGCGCACAGGUGCGUAACGCGUGGGAAUCUGCCCCUUGGUUCGGAAUAACAGUUAGAAAUGACUGCUAAUACCGGAUGGCGACGUAAGUCCAAAGAUUUAUCGCCGAGGGAUGAGCCCGCGUAGGAUUAGCUAGUUGGUGUGGUAAAGGCGCACCAAGGCGACGAUCCUUAGCUGGUCUGAGAGGAUGAUCAGCCACACUGGGACUGAGACACGGCCCAGACUCCUACGGGAGGCAGCAGUGGGGAAUAUUGGACAAUGGGCGAAAGCCUGAUCCAGCAAUGCCGCGUGAGUGAUGAAGGCCUUAGGGUUGUAAAGCUCUUUUACCCGGGAUGAUAAUGACAGUACCGGGAGAAUAAGCUCCGGCUAACUCCGUGCCAGCAGCCGCGGUAAAUCGAAUUCCCGCGGCCGCCAUGGCGGCCGGGAGCAUGCGACGUCGGGCCCA